UACGGAGGGAGCUAGCGUUGUUCGGAAAUACUGGGCGUAAAGCGCACGUAGGCGGCGCAGCAAGUCAGGGGUGAAAUCCCGGGGCUCAACCUCGGAACUGCCCUUGAAACUGCAGUGCUAGAAUCUUGGAGAGGCGAGUGGAAUUCCGAGUGUAGAGGUGAAAUUCGUAGAUAUUCGCAAGAACACCAGUGGCGAAGGCGGCUCACUGGCCCGAUACUGACGCUGAGGCACGAAAGCGUGGGGAGCAAACAGG
Molecule: ribosomal RNA, 253 nt
Filed under: uncultured bacterium
Lineage: Bacteria
Description: partial 16S ribosomal RNA
Rfam family: Bacterial small subunit ribosomal RNA
Source: RNAcentral